AUUGAACGCUGGCGGCAGGCUUAACACAUGCAAGUCGAACGAGGGGCGGACGGGUGAGUAAUGCUUGGGAAUCUCGCUUAUGGAGGGGGAUAACUACGAGAAACUGUAGCUAAUACCGCCUACCAUAGGAUGAGUCCUAGUGGGAUUAGGUAGUUGGUGAGGGAAAGGCUCACCAAGCCGGCGAUCCCUAGCUGGUCUGCGAGGAUGACCAGGAACUCUGGGACUGAGACACGGCCCAGACCCCUACGUGAGGCAGCAGUGGGGCAUAUUGCGCAAUGGGGGCAACCUGACGCAGCCAUGCCGCGUGAAUGAAGAAGGCCUUCGGGUUGUAAAGUUCUUUCGGUAGCGAGGCGUUAACUACCGAAGAAGCACCGGCUAACUCCGUGCCAGCAGCCGCGGUAAUUC
This 405-nucleotide ribosomal RNA is filed under the name uncultured bacterium. Its description in RNAcentral is "partial 16S ribosomal RNA". It matches the Rfam family "Bacterial small subunit ribosomal RNA", at positions 30 to 526 of the family's 1533-position model. The record is from RNAcentral.